RNAcentral lists this long non-coding RNA (426 nucleotides) under Bos taurus (domestic cattle). RNAcentral's name for it is "long non-coding RNA NONBTAT019795". Lineage: Eukaryota; Metazoa; Chordata; Mammalia; Artiodactyla; Bovidae. The record is from RNAcentral.
UAUUAAAUAUGUUAUUUCCUUUUUAAAUAAAACUGCUCAACAGGUAAUCAGCAAUGAAUCAUCUUGCAGCUAUGCAACUUAAAAAAGAUAAUUACCAAUUUUAAGUGCUGCCAGCUAUAAUAACUUUGUUUUAACGGGUAUUUUUAUUUGUUCUUUUCAUGUAAUGUGCUUUGCAUCUCCAGGCAGUUUUCCUACAUUUAGGUAAAAUGUUUAGCAGGUUGUAAUACUUUAAUAACUUAUGAAAAGGGUAAAAUAAAAUUUUCUUGAGUGGAACUUGGAAUAAUUUGAGGGACAUUUUUAUAUACUUUUAAAAAUCAGAAUUUAAUUGGGAUGCCAGAUUUAUAGCAAUUUGCAUCUUUAAUUUUCCAGAUAAUCUGGAGUUUAGCAUUUGAUAAAUGAUUUUUUAAAGCAGACAUGAAGAUUUUG